CUAUACAAUCUAUUGCCUUCCC
Molecule: microRNA, 22 nt
Filed under: Salmo salar (Atlantic salmon)
Lineage: Eukaryota; Metazoa; Chordata; Actinopteri; Salmoniformes; Salmonidae
Also listed under: 12 other names
Description: ssa-let-7f-3p
Gene: ssa-let-7f-3p
Source: miRBase by way of RNAcentral